UGGAAGUAAAAGUCGUAACAAGGUUUCCGUAGGUGAACCUGCGGAAGGAUCAUUACAGUGUCUGGCUGGGCGUCCCCUAGGGGUCGCCCGCUACUGACCACCCUUGCCUACCUAACCACUGUUGCUUCGGCAGGCCCGCUCCUGGUGCUCCCUAACCGGGGCCCGGGUGCGGCCUGGGGCCUGGCUUAACCGCCGCCCGGGUGAGCGCCUGCCGGGGGAUUAGUUGAAACACUUGUUGAUCAGUGAGAACUCUGAGUUGAUUGCAAAAUCGUUAAAACUUUCAACAACGGAUCUCUUGGUUCCAGCAUCGAUGAAGAACGCAGCGAAAUGCGAUAAGUAAUGUGAAUUGCAGAAUUCCGUGAAUCAUCGAAUCUUUGAACGCACAUUGCGCCCUCUGGUAUUCCGGGGGGCAUGCCUGUCCGAGCGUCAUUACACCAAUCAAGCACGGCUUGUGAGUUGGGUCACCGUCCCCUAAUAAGGACGGGCCCGAAACGCAGUGGCGGCGUCGCGGUUUCUCGAUCAGCCAGAGUGUAUGGGGAUUUCAUUCACACGCUCAAGGCCGGGACCGGCGCCAGUCGAUAACCAAACUAUUUAUCAAGGUUGACCUCGGAUCAGGUAGGGAUACCCGCUGAACUUAAGCAUAUCAAUAAGCGGAGGA
Molecule: ribosomal RNA, 658 nt
Filed under: fungal sp. BMP3024
Lineage: Eukaryota; Fungi
Description: eukaryotic LSU rRNA
Rfam family: 5.8S ribosomal RNA (bases 276-429)
Source: RNAcentral